AGUUAACUCAUAAAUUGCUCCUAAUCAUAGGAUCAUCAUGGGGACAGUGAUCGAUCCGAAAUAUUGAUGUAUGAUUACUUUCUUCAGAUUGAGGAGUCUUGAAUCUAUGGUGUAGAGAUACCGAAAUGAAAGUAUAAGUGCUUGUUAAUAAUAAGGGUACUGAGCAUGAUCAAUCACGAACAGUCAUAAAGAUUUCUAUCUUCUCAUCAGUGACUUGUUCAUAGCUGCAGUUGUGUGUCUAAUUCUUUGACCUGAGAUGUAUCAACAAUUAACCUUGAGGGUACUAUAGUUUGACUACACCAUAACUCGAUCUUCUAGCCAUACGGAGCUUUGAGG
This 336-nucleotide long non-coding RNA is filed under the name Elaeis guineensis (African oil palm). Its description in RNAcentral is "long non-coding RNA (EGUI_LNC062080)". The record is from RNAcentral. Lineage: Eukaryota; Viridiplantae; Streptophyta; Magnoliopsida; Arecales; Arecaceae.